AGUCUGGUGCCAGCACCCGUGGUAAUUCCAGCUCAAUUAGCUAUAUUAAAGUUGUUGCAGUUAAAAAGCUCGUAGUUGAACCUCUGUUUGGGACUAGUUUUGGCUUCUGUCAGGUUAGUUUCAAGCAUCCGCUUGCAAAACCUAGCCGUCAUUCACUUGUCGCUAGGAGGAGCAGGCAUUUUACUUUGAAAAAAUUAGAGUGUUUAAGGCAGGCAAUUGCCCGCAUAUAUUAGCAUGGAAUAAUAGAAUAGGACACUUUUCCAUUUCGUUGGUUAUUGGAAUCGUGUAAUGAUUAAUAGGGACAGUUGUGGGCAUUUGUAUUUAAUUGUCAGAGGUGAAAUUCUUGGAUUUAUUAAAGACAAACUAACGCGAAAGCAUUUGCCAAGGAUGUUUUCAUUAAUCAAGAACGAAAGUUAGGGGAUCAAAGACGAUCAGAUACCGUCAUAGUCUUAACUAUAAACUAUUCCGACUCAAUGUUCGACUGGCUUAUAUAACCAGUUGAGCGUUGUAUGAGAAAUCAAAGUCUUUAGGUUCUGGGGGGAGUAUGGUUGCAAAGCUGAAACUUAAAGGAAUUGACGGAAGAGCACAACCAGGAGUGGAUUCUGCGGCUUAAUUUGACUCAACACGGGGAAACUUACCAGGUUAAAACAAUAGUGGGAUUGACAGUUUGAGAGCGCUUUCUUGAUUCGUUGGGUGGUGGUGCAUGGCCGUUCUUAGUUGGUGGAGUGAUUUGUCUGCUUAAUUGCGUUAACGAACGAGACCUUAACCUGCUUACUAGACUGCCGAUGUAUAAUCGACAGCUCUUCUUAGAGGGACUUUGGUUGUUUUAACUCCAAGGAAGUUUGAGGCAAUAACAGGUCUGUGAUGCCCUUAGAUAUCCUGGGCCGCACGCGUCAUACAAUGACCAGUUCAGAAAGUUUCAUCCUGAUCCGGAAGGAUACGGGUAAUCUUGACAGUACUGGUCGUGUUAGGGAUCGAUCCUUGCAAUUAUAGAUUUUGAGCGAGGAAUUCCUAGUAAGUGCAGUUCAUCAGACUGUACUGAUUACGUCCCUGCUCUUUGUACACACCGCCCGUCGCUUCUACCGAGUGAGUGGUCCGGUGAGAUACUUGAACUUGGCCGGAUUUAUCCGAUCGGGGAAGAUUAUCAAACCUAUCCACUUCGAGGAAGAAGAAGUCGUAACAAGGUU
Molecule: ribosomal RNA, 1187 nt
Filed under: metagenome
Description: SSU rRNA
Rfam family: Eukaryotic small subunit ribosomal RNA
Source: RNAcentral